This 507-nucleotide ribosomal RNA is filed under the name Dictyocoela sp. 12 JEI-2011. Its description in RNAcentral is "partial small subunit ribosomal RNA". It matches the Rfam family "Microsporidia small subunit ribosomal RNA", at positions 269 to 778 of the family's 1311-position model. Lineage: Eukaryota; Fungi; Microsporidia. The record is from RNAcentral.
CCAGGACCAAGGUCAGCAGCAGGCGCGAAAAUUAUCGAAGCCCGCCUAGGGGCGAUAGUGAGGAGACGUGUAUAACGAAGUACGUGUAAAGAACGUGCUAAUAACUGGAGGUCAAGUCUGGUGCCAGCAUCCGCGGUAAUUCCAGCUCCAGGGGUGUCUAUGAUGAUUGCUGCGAUUAAAAAGUCCGUAGUCAAUCUGACUGACUGACCUGCAAUGUGAUUGAUUAAAGAACGAGCAGGGUUAGGAAAGCAGAGAAUUAGGAGCGACCGAGGGCUAGAGUAUUGAAUGGCGAGAGGUGAAAUUUGAUGACCCAUUCAGGAGUGACAAAGGCGAAGGCACUAGUCAAGGGCGAAUCCGAUGAUCAAGGACGUAGGCUAGAGUUUCGAAAACGAUUAGAGACCGGAGUAGUUCUAGCAGUAAACUAUGCCGACGCCGUGGUAUUAUUUUAGUAUUGCGGAAGAGAAAUCAAUAAGGCUUUGGGGAGAGUACGCGCGCAAGCGAUAAAUU